This 710-nucleotide long non-coding RNA is filed under the name Triticum aestivum (bread wheat). Its description in RNAcentral is "long non-coding RNA (TAES_LNC015984)". The record is from RNAcentral. Lineage: Eukaryota; Viridiplantae; Streptophyta; Magnoliopsida; Poales; Poaceae.
UUUAACACUGCCGAGGUCUUACACCUGAAUGGCUGAACCUAGAAAUAUGCACUCUUCCUCAAUUUUCACAGCGCAACACAUUCUUUUCAGCUAACAAGUACAGUUCUUUUAUACACAACAAUGGUAAGACAACAUCUUCCCGCCGAUCACCACUCAGCAAUGUAGUACUGUAUGAAAUAUCGAGCACUUGUGCUUGCUAGAGUGAUAAACCGAACCUUUUCAGUUUAGUUGAUAGAUCAAAUACACCAAUGUGCCGGAAUAGCUACAGAAACGAACGCCAGAUAUGUGUGUGUGUGUGUGUGUGUGUGUGUGUGUGUGUGUGUGUGUGUGUGUGUAGCACAAAAUAGCAAGAUGAUAGCUUGCGCAAGUCUAACGGUCCCUCCGGUAACUUAACCUACUAGCACACAGCCUCAUGGCUUGAUGCUCAAAGCAGAAGAGUUGCACAUGCCACUACCAGCAGAAUGCAGGUGCUUACAGCCGUCUUGUGAGCAGCAGAAGGCGAUGAACCAGGAGGUGGGCCGGCACCAAAAGGUGCAUUCUUGGGCGCGACAGGGGGGAAUGGCGGCUGCUGCACGCUUGAUGCGUCCAAUUUUGGCAUUGGUGCCACAGAUGGCGGCUGGGCCUGAGGAGCGGCUUGAUUCUUGAGUAGUUGCGCCAGGCCACCGACAGUAACGUUCCCCAUGUAGGAGGGCACGUCAUUUCCCAAACCC